GAUGAACGCUGGCGGCGUGCCUAAUACAUGCAAGUCGAGCGAACGGACGAGAAGCUUGCUUCUCUGAUGUUAGCGGCGGACGGGUGAGUAACACGUGGAUAACCUACCUAUAAGACUGGGAUAACUUCGGGAAACCGGAGCUAAUACCGGAUAAUAUUUUGAACCGCAUGGUUCAAAAGUGAAAGACGGUCUUGCUGUCACUUAUAGAUGGAUCCGCGCUGCAUUAGCUAGUUGGUAAGGUAACGGCUUACCAAGGCAACGAUGCAUAGCCGACCUGAGAGGGGGGGCGGCCCACCGGGAAAGGGGAACAGGGCCCGGACCCUAAGGGAGGCCACAGUAGGGAAAUUUUCCCAAUUGGGGGAAACCCUAAGGAGCAAACGCCAGUUAGGUAUAAAGGGUUUGCGAUCGGAAAAACCUGUUUUUAGGGAAAAACAUAUUUUUAAGUUAAUGUGGACAUCUUGACGGUAACCAAUAAAAAAGCCACGGCUAACUACGUG
This 497-nucleotide ribosomal RNA is filed under the name uncultured bacterium. RNAcentral's name for it is "partial 16S ribosomal RNA". It matches the Rfam family "Bacterial small subunit ribosomal RNA", at positions 28 to 507 of the family's 1533-position model. The record is from RNAcentral.